GAGUAACGCGUAAGGAACUUGCCUCUUGGACUGGGACAACUGUUGGAAACGACAGCUAAUACCGGAUAUUAUGAGAUUCUCGCAUGAGAAACUUAUGAAAGCUAUAUGCGCCAAGAGAGAGCCUUGCGUUCCAUUAGCUAGUUGGUGGGGUAACGGCCCACCAAGGCGACGAUGGAUAGCCGGCCUGAGAGGGUGAACGGCCACAAGGGACUGAGACACGGCCCUUACUCCUACGGGAGGCAGCAGUGGGGAAUAUUGGACAAUGGGCCACAAGCCUGAUCCAGCAAUUCUGUGUGCACGAUGAAGGUCUUCGGAUUGUAAAGUGCUUUCAGUUGGGAAGAAGAAAGUGACGGUACCAACAGAAGAAGCGACGGCUAAAUACGUGCCAGCAGCCGCGGUAAUACGUAUGUCGCAAGCGUUAUCCGGAUUUAUUGGGCGUAAAGCGCGUCUAGGCGGAAAAAUAAGUCUGAUGUUAAAAUGCGGGGCUCAACUCCGUAUUGCGUUGGAAACUGUUUUUCUAGAGUACUGGAGAGGUGGGCGGAACUACAAGUGUAGAGGUGAAAUUCGUAGAUAUUUGUAGGAAUGCCGAUGGAGAAGUCAGCUCACUGGACAGAUACUGACGCUGA
RNAcentral lists this ribosomal RNA (626 nucleotides) under uncultured bacterium. Its description in RNAcentral is "bacterial SSU rRNA". It matches the Rfam family "Bacterial small subunit ribosomal RNA", at positions 108 to 749 of the family's 1533-position model. The record is from RNAcentral.